RNAcentral lists this ribosomal RNA (521 nucleotides) under uncultured bacterium. Its description in RNAcentral is "bacterial SSU rRNA". It matches the Rfam family "Archaeal small subunit ribosomal RNA", at positions 345 to 866 of the family's 1478-position model. The record is from RNAcentral.
AACCUCCGCAAUGUGAGAAAUCGCGACGGGGGGAUCCCAAGUGCCAUUCUUAACGGGAUGGCUUUUCAUUAGUGUAAAGAGCUUUUGGAAUAAGAGCUGGGCAAGACCGGUGCCAGCCGCCGCGGUAACACCGGCAGCUCUAGUGGUAGCAAUUUUUAUUGGGCCUAAAGCGUCCGUAGCCGGUUUAAUAAGUCUCUGGUGAAAUCCUGUAGCUUAACUGUGGGAAUUGCUGGAGAUACUAUUAGACUUGAGACCGGGAGAGGUUAGAGGUACUCCCAGGGUAGAGGUGAAAUUCUGUAAUCCUGGGAGGACCGCCUGUUGCGAAGGCGUCUAACUGGAACGGUUCUGACGGUGAGGGACGAAAGUUAGGGGCGCGAACCGGAUUAGAUACCCGGGUAGUCCUAACUGUAAACGAUGCGGACUUGGUGUUGGGGUGGCUUUGAGCUGCUUCAGUGCCGAAGGGAAGCUGUUAAGUCCGCCGCCUGGGAAGUACGGUCGCAAGACUGAAACUUAAAGGAAUU